UACAGAGGGGGCAAGCGUUGUUCGGAAUUACUGGGCGUAAAGGGCGCGUAGGCGGCCUGUUAAGUCGAACGUGAAAUCCCCGGGCUCAACCUGGGAACUGCGCUUGAUACGGCAGAGCUAGAGGAUGGAAGAGGGUCGCGGAAUUCCCAGUGUAGAGGUGAAAUUCGUAGAUAUUGGGAAGAACACCGGUGGCGAAGGCGGCGACCUGGUCCAUUACUGACGCUGAGGCGCGACAGCGUGGGGAGCAAACAGG
Molecule: ribosomal RNA, 253 nt
Filed under: uncultured bacterium
Lineage: Bacteria
Description: partial 16S ribosomal RNA
Rfam family: Bacterial small subunit ribosomal RNA
Source: RNAcentral